This 459-nucleotide ribosomal RNA is filed under the name uncultured bacterium. Its description in RNAcentral is "bacterial SSU rRNA". It matches the Rfam family "Bacterial small subunit ribosomal RNA", at positions 340 to 789 of the family's 1533-position model. The record is from RNAcentral.
UACGGGAGGCAGCAGUGGGGAAUAUUGCACAAUGGGCGAAAGCCUGAUGCAGCUAUGUCGCGUGUAUGAAGAAGGCCUUAGGGUUGUAAAGUACUUUCAUCGGGGAGGAAAAAACAAAACUAAUAAUUUUAUUUCUUGACGUUACCCGAAAAAGAAGCACCGGCUAACUCCGUGCCAGCAGCCGCGGUAAUACGGAGGGUGCUAGCGUUAAUCAGAAUUACUGGGCGUAAAGAGCACGUAGGUGGUUUUUUUAAGUCAGAUGUGAAAUCCCUGGGCUUAACCUAGGAACUGCAUUUUGAAACUGAAAUACUAGAGUAUCGUAGAGGGAGGUAGAAUUCUAGGUGUAGCGGUGAAAUGCGUAGAUAUCUGGAGGAAUACCUGUGGCGAAAGCGGCCUCCUAAACGAAUACUGACACUGAGGUGCGAAAGCGUGGGGAGCAAACAGGGAUUAGAUACCCGU